Molecule: ribosomal RNA, 503 nt
Filed under: Aquincola tertiaricarbonis
Lineage: Bacteria; Pseudomonadati; Pseudomonadota; Betaproteobacteria; Burkholderiales; Sphaerotilaceae
Description: bacterial SSU rRNA
Rfam family: Bacterial small subunit ribosomal RNA
Source: RNAcentral
AAAAAGGCCUUCGGGUUUUGAAACCGCUUUUGUCGGGGAAGAAAUGCUCUGGGCUAAUACCCUGGGGAGAUGACGGUACCCGAAGAAUAAGCACCGGCUAACUACGUGCCAGCAGCCGCGGUAAUACGUAGGGUGCGAGCGUUAAUCGGAAUUACUGGGCGUAAAGCGUGCGCAGGCGGUUGUGUAAGACAGAUGUGAAAUCCCCGGGCUCAACCUGGGAACUGCAUUUGUGACUGCACGGCUGGAGUGCGGCAGAGGGGGAUGGAAUUCCGCGUGUAGCAUGAAAUGCGUAGAUAUGCGGAGGAACACCGAUGGCGAAGGCAAUCCCCUGGGCCUGCACUGACGCUCAUGCACGAAAGCGUGGGGAGCAAACAGGAUUAGAUACCCUGGUAGUCCACGCCCUAAACGAUGUCAACUGGUUGUUGGGAGGGUUUCUUCUCAGUAACGAAGCUAACGCGUGAAGUUGACCGCCUGGGGAGUACGGCCGCAAGGUUGAAACUCAA